RNAcentral lists this small nucleolar RNA (135 nucleotides) under Sorghum bicolor (sorghum). RNAcentral describes it as "Small nucleolar RNA snoR138". It matches the Rfam family "Small nucleolar RNA snoR138". Lineage: Eukaryota; Viridiplantae; Streptophyta; Magnoliopsida; Poales; Poaceae. The record is from Rfam by way of RNAcentral.
UGUGCCUCUCGAAUAACCAGUUGCUUUGAUUAGUAUGUUUGCAUUUGGUUCAGACAGGGGCACAUAACAAAUGGGAUCAUUUGAGGGAAGGGAUCUUGUCUUUGUUCAUCCCUUCUUAGAUUGAUUCCUACAAUU